This 254-nucleotide ribosomal RNA is filed under the name uncultured bacterium. Its description in RNAcentral is "partial 16S ribosomal RNA". It matches the Rfam family "Bacterial small subunit ribosomal RNA", at positions 524 to 776 of the family's 1533-position model. The record is from RNAcentral.
CACGUAGGGUGCGAGCGUUGUCCGGAAUUAUUGGGCGUAAAGAGCUCGUAGGCGGGGUGUCGCGUCGGCCGUGAAAACCUGCAGCUUAACUGUGGGCGUGCGGUCGAUACGGGCAUCACUGGAGUUCGGCAGGGGAGACUGGAAUUCCUGGUGUAGCGGUGAAAUGCGCAGAUAUCAGGAGGAACACCGGUGGCGAAGGCGGGUCUCUGGGCCGGUACUGACGCUGAGGCGCGAAAGCGUGGGGAGCAAACAGG